This 490-nucleotide ribosomal RNA is filed under the name uncultured bacterium. RNAcentral describes it as "partial 16S ribosomal RNA". It matches the Rfam family "Bacterial small subunit ribosomal RNA", at positions 30 to 507 of the family's 1533-position model. The record is from RNAcentral.
AUUGAACGCUGGCGGCAGGCCUAACACAUGCAAGUCGAACGGUAACAGGAAGCAGCUUGCUGCUUCGCUGACGAGUGGCGGACGGGUGAGUAAUGUCUGGGAAGCUGCCUGAUGGAGGGGGAUAACUACUGGAAACGGUAGCUAAUACCGCAUAAUGUCGCAAGACCAAAGAGGGGGACCUUCGGGCCUCUUGCCAUCGGAUGUGCCCAGAUGGGAUUAGCUUGUUGGUGGGGUAACGGCUCACCAAGGCGACGAUUCCUAGCUGGUCUGAGAGGAUGACCAGCCACACUGGAACUGAGACACGGUCCAGACUCCUACGGGAGGCAGCAGUGGGGAAUAUUGCACAAUGGGCGCAAGCCUGAUGCAGCCAUGCCGCGUGUAUGAAGAAGGCCUUCGGGUUGUAAAGUACUUUCAGCGGGGAGGAAGGGAGUAAAGUUAAUACCUUUGCUCAUUGACGUUACCCGCAGAAGAAGCACCGGCUAACUCCGUG